RNAcentral lists this ribosomal RNA (254 nucleotides) under uncultured bacterium. RNAcentral's name for it is "partial 16S ribosomal RNA". It matches the Rfam family "Bacterial small subunit ribosomal RNA", at positions 524 to 776 of the family's 1533-position model. The record is from RNAcentral.
UACGUAGGGUGCAAGCGUUGUCCGGAAUUAUUGGGCGUAAAGAGCUCGUAGGCGGUCUGUCGCGUCUGCUGUGAAAACCCAGGGCUUAACUCUGGGCUUGCUUUCGAUACGGGCAGACUAGAGGUAUGCAGGGGGAGAACGGAAUUCCUGGUGUAGCGGUGAAAUGCGCAGAUAUCAGGAGGAACACCGGUGGCGAAGGCGGUUCUCUGGGCAUUACCUGACGCUGAGGAGCGAAAGUGUGGGGAGCGAACAGG